RNAcentral lists this ribosomal RNA (564 nucleotides) under uncultured Bifidobacterium sp. RNAcentral's name for it is "bacterial SSU rRNA". It matches the Rfam family "Bacterial small subunit ribosomal RNA", at positions 146 to 711 of the family's 1533-position model. Lineage: Bacteria; Bacillati; Actinomycetota; Actinomycetes; Bifidobacteriales; Bifidobacteriaceae. The record is from RNAcentral.
UCUCCUGGAAACGGGUGGUAAUGCCGGAUGUUCCACAUGAGCGCAUGCGAGUGUGGGAAAGGCUUUUUGCGGCAUGGGAUGGGGUCGCGUCCUAUCAGCUUGUUGGUGGGGUAACGGCCUACCAAGGCGUUGACGGGUAGCCGGCCUGAGAGGGCGACCGGCCACAUUGGGACUGAGAUACGGCCCAGACUCCUACGGGAGGCAGCAGUGGGGAAUAUUGCACAAUGGGCGCAAGCCUGAUGCAGCGACGCCGCGUGCGGGAUGGAGGCCUUCGGGUUGUAAACCGCUUUUGUUCAAGGGCAAGGCACGGUUUCGGCCGUGUUGAGUGGAUUGUUCGAAUAAGCACCGGCUAACUACGUGCCAGCAGCCGCGGUAAUACGUAGGGUGCAAGCGUUAUCCGGAUUUAUUGGGCGUAAAGGGCUCGUAGGCGGUUCGUCGCGUCCGGUGUGAAAGUCCAUCGCCUAACGGUGGAUCCGCGCCGGGUACGGGCGGGCUUGAGUGCGGUAGGGGAGACUGGAAUUCCCGGUGUAACGGUGGAAUGUGUAGAUAUCGGGAAGAACACCA